RNAcentral lists this ribosomal RNA (256 nucleotides) under uncultured bacterium. RNAcentral describes it as "partial 16S ribosomal RNA". It matches the Rfam family "Bacterial small subunit ribosomal RNA", at positions 524 to 776 of the family's 1533-position model. The record is from RNAcentral.
CACGUAGGGUGCGAGCGUUGUCCGGAAUUAUUGGGCGUAAAGAGCUCGUAGGCGGUGUGUCGCGUCGGCCGUGAAAACCUGCAGCUUAACUGUGGGCGUGCGGUCGAUACGGGCAUCACUGGAGUUCGGCAGGGGAGACUGGAAUUCCUGGUGUAGCGGUGAAAUGCGCAGAUAUCAGGAGGAACACCGGUGGCGAAGGCGGGUCUCUGGGCCGAUACUGACGCUGGAGACGCGAAAGCCGUGGGGAGCAAACAGG